Molecule: ribosomal RNA, 495 nt
Filed under: uncultured bacterium
Lineage: Bacteria
Description: partial 16S ribosomal RNA
Rfam family: Bacterial small subunit ribosomal RNA
Source: RNAcentral
GACGAACGCUGGCGGCGUGCCUAAUACAUGCAAGUAGAACGCUGAAGGAGGAGCUUGCUCUUCUGGAUGAGUUGCGAACGGGUGAGUAACGCGUAGGUAACCUGCCUGGUAGCGGGGGAUAACUAUUGGAAACGAUAGCUAAUACCGCAUAAAAUUGAUUAUUGCAUGAUAGUCAAUUAAAAGGUGCAAUUGCAUCACUACCAGAUGGACCUGCGUUGUAUUAGCUAGUUGGUGAGGUAACGGCUCACCAAGGCAACGAUACAUAGCCGACCUGAGAGGGUGAGCGGCCACACUGGGACUGAGACACGGCCCAGACUCCUACGGGAGGCAGCAGUAGGGAAUCUUCGGCAAUGGACGGAAGUCUGACCGAGCAACGCCGCGUGAGUGAAGAAGGUUUUCGGAUCGUAAAGCUCUGUUGUAAGAGAAGAACGAGUGUGAGAGUGGAAAGUUCACACUGUGACGGUAUCUUACCAGAAAGGGACGGCUAACUACGUG